UGGGGGAUAUUGCACAAUGGGCGAAAGCCUGAUGCAGCGACGCCGCGUGGGGGAUGAAGGCCUUCGGGUUGUAAACUUCUUUUGCUCUUAACAAGGCAUGCCUUUGGGGUGUGUUGAGUGUAGGGGUUGAUUAGCGCCGGCUAACUACGUGCCAGCAGCCGCGGUAAUACGUAGGGCGCGAGCGUUGUCCGGAAUUAUUGGGCGUAACGGGCUUGUAGGUGGCUGGUUGCGUCUGUCGUGAAAGCUCAUGGCUUAACUGUGGGUUUGCGGUGGGUACGGGCUGGCUUGAGUGCAGUAGGGGAGGCUGGAAUUCCUGGUGUAGCGGUGGAAUGCGCAGAUAUCAGGAGGAAUACCGGUGGCGAAGGCGGGUCUCUGGGCUGUUACUGACGCUGAGGAGCGAAAGCGUGGGGAGCGAACAGG
RNAcentral lists this ribosomal RNA (420 nucleotides) under Fusobacteriota bacterium. RNAcentral's name for it is "Fusobacteria bacterium partial 16S ribosomal RNA". It matches the Rfam family "Bacterial small subunit ribosomal RNA", at positions 355 to 776 of the family's 1533-position model. Lineage: Bacteria; Fusobacteriati; Fusobacteriota. The record is from RNAcentral.